Molecule: ribosomal RNA, 448 nt
Filed under: uncultured bacterium
Lineage: Bacteria
Description: bacterial SSU rRNA
Rfam family: Bacterial small subunit ribosomal RNA
Source: RNAcentral
UCGAGAAUUUUUCUCAAUGGGGGAAACCCUGAAGGAGCGACGCCGCGUGGAGGAUGAAUGCUUUCGGGUUGUAAACUCCUGUCAUUUGGGAACAAGGCCUUACGUUAACUGCGUGGAGGAUUGAUAGUACCAAAAGAGGAAGAGACGGCUAACUCUGUGCCAGCAGCCGCGGUAAUACAGAGGUCUCAAGCGUUGUUCGGAUUCAUUGGGCGUAAAGGGCGCGUAGGCGGUGAAGUAAGUCUGGUGUGAAAUCUAGGAGCUUAACUCCUAAACUGCACUGGAUACUGUUUUGCUUGAGGACUGGAGAGGAGAUUGGAAUUCACGGUGUAGCAGUGAAAUGCGUAGAUAUCGUGAGGAAGACCAGUGGCGAAGGCGGAUCUCUGGACAGUUCCUGACGCUGAGGCGCGAAGGCCAGGGGAGCAAAUGGGAUUAGAUACCCCCGUAGUCC